UGUGGAAAAAAACAUUUAAAC
Caenorhabditis elegans is the source of this 21-nucleotide non-coding RNA. NCBI's taxonomy places the organism in Eukaryota, Metazoa, Nematoda, Chromadorea, Rhabditida, Rhabditidae. The record is from Ensembl.